Molecule: long non-coding RNA, 618 nt
Organism: Dermacentor albipictus
Lineage: Eukaryota; Metazoa; Arthropoda; Arachnida; Ixodida; Ixodidae
Source: RefSeq, a predicted model, not a curated record
CGCAAUUAAAUUCUCGCAUUUGCCUGCGGCAUUUAUAACAAAGGAAGUUGCGUGUGUUCAUUUUCUCCUGCCACAACACUCACUGCGGCUUUUAUAAUUCGAGCAACAAGGAACGCUUUGUGUUUGAUGAAAAUCGCAUUUAUUGUCGAAGAAUACUGGCCAGCCAAUAAUUUGAAAGUAAUGCCCAAGCAUUAGGAGUAUAUAUAAGGUGCCAGUUGAAGCCCGUCUUUGACACGUCGCCUAAGCUAGAAAGCUGACUGGUCACUCUGCUCGGAAGCAAGACAUUCCAAGCAGCCUUCGCCAUGUCUGGAAUGAGUUCGUGCCAGAAGAAAUCCAGUGGCUUUCGCUACGCCGCCUGCCUUUUUGUGGUCGCGUUCGUAGCUUUCCAGCUCUGUCACAGCGCUUUAGCCUAUGACAACGACAACAGCGCCAAUAGUAACGCAGGCUCCAAUGCGAACGCGAACGCCAAUCGCCCCUACAAUGCGAACUCCGACAACGCCACUGCAUCCCCUGGAAAGCAUGCACACGACCUCGACAAGAAACAUUACUGAUCGCUGACGCCUCUCGAGCACGGUGUAGCAGCGCAUCUGGAAUAAAGCACGGAAAUCGGCAGCACCA